Molecule: non-coding RNA, 30 nt
Filed under: Rattus norvegicus (Norway rat)
Lineage: Eukaryota; Metazoa; Chordata; Mammalia; Rodentia; Muridae
Source: RNAcentral
AAGGCUGGCCAUGAAAUGAGGUUGAGUACU